AAACGAUUUCGCGGUUUUCGCCGAGACGUGCUUUCAGAAGUUCGGCGAUCGAGUGAAGCAUUGGAUUACCUUCAACGAACCGCACACCUUCGCUACACAGGGCUACGAUGUCGGUCUCCAGGCGCCGGGGCGCUGCUCCAUUCUCCACCAUCUUACUUGUCGGAAUGGCAACUCUGCAACCGAGCCUUACAUUGUUGGCCACAAUAUUCUCCUCUCUCAUGCCACCGUCUCCGAUAUUUACAGAAGAAAGUACAAGAGGACACAGAAGGGAGUGAUUGGAAUCUCGCUAGAUGUUAUCUGGUUUGAACCAGGUUCGAAUUCCACUGAAGACAUUGCAGCUUCCCAAAGAGCUCAAGAUUUUCAGCUUGGAUGGUUUCUCAACCCGUUGAUCUUUGGAGAUUAUCCAACCUCCAUGAAAAGCAGAGUUGGAGGGCGACUACCGACGUUUUCACAGCAGCAGGCGGCAUUG
Molecule: unclassified non-coding RNA, 469 nt
Filed under: Hevea brasiliensis (rubber tree)
Lineage: Eukaryota; Viridiplantae; Streptophyta; Magnoliopsida; Malpighiales; Euphorbiaceae
Source: RNAcentral